UUGGAUUUUUUGUGGGUUUUUUUGGCAUUGAGUUAUAUAAAUUCUUUAUGUGUUUUGGAUAGUAACCCUUUAUCAAAUGUGUUAUUUGCAAAUAUCUUCUCCCAUUCAGUAGGUUGUCUUUUUGCUUUGAUGAUUGUGGUUUUUCAUUGUUGUUGUUUUGUUUUGCUCUGAAGUUUUUUAUUUUGAUGUAGUCUCUAUAGUUUAUUUUUGCUUUCUUUUCCUUGCCUCAGAAGAUAUAUCUAGAAAAAUAUUUUAUGACUGAUGUCAGAAAAAUUACCGCCUGUGCUCUCUUCUAGGGUUUUUGUAGAUUCGGGUCUCACAUUUAGGUCCUUAAUCCAUUUUGAGUUUAUUUUUGUAUAUGGUUUAAGAAAGCAGUCCCAUUUCAUUCUUUUGCAUGUAGCUGUCCAGUUUUCCCAACAACUUGUUGAAGAGGCUUUUUCCGGUUGCAUAGUCACGACUCUUUUGUCAAAGAUUAAUUGAUCACUUAAUCAUGGGUUUAUUUCUGUUCUGUUGAUCUUCGUGUCUAUUUUUAUGCCAGUAUCAUACUGUUUUGAUUGCUACAGCUUUGUAGUAUAUCUUGAUAUCUGGGAUUCUGAUACCUCCAGGUUUGUUCUUCUUUUUCAAGACUGCUUUGCUAUUCGGGGUCUUCUGUGGUUCUAUACAAAUUUUAGGAUUAUUUGUUCUGGUUCUGUGAAAAAUGCUGUUGGUAUUCUGAUAGGGAUUGCUUUAAAUCCAUAGGUUGUUUUGGGUAGUAUGGACAUUUUAACAAUAUUUGUUCUCCCAAUCCAUGAGCAUGGAAUAUCUUUCCAUUUGUUUAUGCCAUCUUCAAUUUCAGCGUUUUAUAAUUUUUCAGAGUUCUGGUCUUUCACCUCUUUGGGUAAGGUUUAUUCCUAGGUAUUUUAUUAAUUUUGAUGCAAUUGUAAAUAUUUUAUUAAUUUCUUUUUCUGCUACAUAGUGUGUAGAAAUGUUAUGAAUUUCUGUAUAUUGAUUUUGUAUCCUACAAUUGUACUGAAUUCAUUUAUCAGUUCCUAGUAGCUUUUUGGUGGAGUCUUUAGGAUUUUCUAUAUAUCUAUCAUAUCAUCUGCAAGUUAAACACCUUGCAUACUUGGGUUAAAUUCCACUUGGUUAUAUAGUAUAUAGUUCUAUUUAUAUAUUAUUGGCAUGAAUACUUAUUUAACUUCCUAUUUACCCUUCUAACUUUAUGAAUUGGAAGAGAAAAUUUCCUAGGUAUUUAAAAAGAUCCAAAUAUCAGCAACUGUUGGUUCAUGUCCUGGAAUGAAUACGAAGUUUACAUUUUCACAUUAAUUUUGAUUCCUUUAUUGAAUUCUACAGAUAACAAAGCUGGAGAUUUUCUCUUUGAAGAAAAUGAUGAUGGUGAUGAUCAGAUUCUCUACAAUCUUGCACUUACCUAAAAUUUGAUGUUAUGGUCAAAAUUUACAUUCAUCUUAUUUUAAAGGAUAUUUAGUAAUGUGGUUUUAGGAUUUCAAGUAUGUACAAUUGGUAAAUAUUUCAGCACCCAGUGAUCCAUGUUUUGCCUUUCAUUUUUUAUUCAAAUAGGACCGAGAUGCUAUUAUUCCCAAGUUAGGGACUUAGAGACUGAGGUCUAGAAAUUAGGAAAGCUGAGGAUCAGUCUUGAUUUUGUGCCUUAAUCACUUUUAAAUUAUUGCAUUUUAUAGUUGAAUCAUUUCUUUACCUUGGAGUUGUAAAGUGAAGACAGGAAGAUCACCCACACAUUAAGUAAUUUAUUCAAAAUCUACUGAGUGCCAGCUAUAUACCAGGAACUAUGAUAAACGUUAAGGAUACAAAGAUGAAUAAAAUGAAGCAUCUGUCUUAGAGGAGCUCACAGUUCAAUGAAGAAGCAUACAGAGUGUUUUCUUACACGAGUCUCAGCAAAAUUCCUGUAGUACGGAUAUGGUUCUUCCCAUUUCACAUGUGAGAAAUCUGAGCGCAGAAAAUUUCCACCACAGUCAAGGCAACCAGUGGACAAGAUGUGGACGAUGAAGCUACAUCAGAACUGAAAGGGG
Molecule: long non-coding RNA, 2024 nt
Organism: Nyctereutes procyonoides (raccoon dog)
Lineage: Eukaryota; Metazoa; Chordata; Mammalia; Carnivora; Canidae
Exons: 3
Source: RefSeq, a predicted model, not a curated record